Molecule: ribosomal RNA, 372 nt
Filed under: uncultured bacterium
Lineage: Bacteria
Description: bacterial SSU rRNA
Rfam family: Bacterial small subunit ribosomal RNA
Source: RNAcentral
AAUGAACGUUGGCGGCGUGGAUUAGGCAUGCAAGUCGAGCGGAAAGGCCCGCAAGGGCACUCGAGCGGCGUAAGGGACAGUAAUGUGUAGGUACGUACCCCUGGGUCUAGGAUAGCUGCGGGAAACUGCAAUUAAUACUAGAUGACGUCUCCGGACCAAAGGUGUGAUUCCACCCAGGGAGCGGCCUACAUCCUAUUAGCUAGUUGGUGAGGUGACGGCUCACCAAGGCGAAGAUGGGUAGCAGGUGUGAGAGCACGACCUGCGUCACUGGGACUGAGACACUGCCCAGACACCUACGGGUGGCUGCAGUCGAGAAUCUUCGGCAAUGGGCGAAAGCCUGACCGAGCGACGCCGCGUGCGGGAUGAAGGCCU